This 301-nucleotide ribosomal RNA is filed under the name uncultured bacterium. RNAcentral describes it as "partial 16S ribosomal RNA". It matches the Rfam family "Bacterial small subunit ribosomal RNA", at positions 509 to 807 of the family's 1533-position model. The record is from RNAcentral.
CAGUCGCCACGGUAAUACGGAGGGUGCAAGCGUUAAUCGGAAUUACUGGGCGUAAAGCGCACGCAGGCGGUCUGACAAGUCAGAUGUGAAAUCCCCGGGCUUAACCUGGGAACUGCAUUUGAAACUGUCAGGCUGGAGUCUUGUAGAGGGGGGUGGAAUUCCAGGUGUAGCGGUGAAAUGCGUAGAGAUCUGGAGGAAUACCGGUGGCGAAGGCGGCCCCCUGGACAAAGACUGACGCUCAGGUGCGAAAGCGUGGGGAGCAAACAGGAUUAGAUACCCCGGUAGUCCCUGUCUCUUAUAC